CUGUUACCCCUCUGAUAGCUCACUCUCUGUAUGUGCAGGAGUGUGUGAGGGUCCCAGUCUCUUGCUGGAGGAAGAGGAGAAUCUGUCCGUAAAUGGGAUUACACUGACAAUAAUGGACAACAGAUCCCGUAUAGAAAUAAAUCGGGAAUAUAAUGGAAUCGGAUUUGAAAAAUCAACUCGUGGAAUCCCGAAAAUAAUUGAACGGUAUUUAGAUGGAGGUGGAGCUGGUACCUCUGAAACAGACCCUCGCACCAAAUCACCCAACAACGAUACCACUCAUUAGUUCAAAUUCUUCCAAAAAAUGUAUUAAAAAGUUUUUGUUAAAAA
Molecule: long non-coding RNA, 327 nt
Organism: Pseudophryne corroboree (corroboree frog)
Lineage: Eukaryota; Metazoa; Chordata; Amphibia; Anura; Myobatrachidae
Exons: 2
Source: RefSeq, a predicted model, not a curated record